AGGGGCGUCGCCAAGAGGUCCAAGGCACCGGGUUUUGAUCCCGGCAUCCGCAGGUUCGAAUCCUGCCGCCCCUGCCA
This 77-nucleotide transfer RNA is filed under the name Pseudoxanthomonas kaohsiungensis. RNAcentral's name for it is "tRNA-Gln". It matches the Rfam family "tRNA". From Rfam's summary of the family: Transfer RNA (tRNA) molecules are approximately 80 nucleotides in length. Their secondary structure includes four short double-helical elements and three loops (D, anti-codon, and T loops). Further hydrogen bonds mediate the characteristic L-shaped molecular structure. tRNAs have two regions of fundamental functional importance: the anti-codon, which is responsible for specific mRNA codon recognition, and the 3' end, to which the tRNAs corresponding amino acid is attached (by aminoacyl-tRNA synthetases). tRNAs cope with the degeneracy of the genetic code in two manners: having more than one tRNA (with a specific anti-codon) for a particular amino acid; and 'wobble' base-pairing, i.e. permitting non-standard base-pairing at the 3rd anti-codon position. Lineage: Bacteria; Pseudomonadati; Pseudomonadota; Gammaproteobacteria; Lysobacterales; Lysobacteraceae. RNAcentral also lists the same sequence under 15 other names. The record is from RNAcentral.